GGCCCUAUCGUCUAGUCUGGUUUAGGACACCGGGUUUUCAUCCCGACAACACCAGUUCAAAUCUGGUUGGGGCCG
RNAcentral lists this transfer RNA (75 nucleotides) under Candidatus Nealsonbacteria bacterium CG_4_9_14_0_8_um_filter_36_17. RNAcentral's name for it is "tRNA-Glu". It matches the Rfam family "tRNA". Rfam says of the family: Transfer RNA (tRNA) molecules are approximately 80 nucleotides in length. Their secondary structure includes four short double-helical elements and three loops (D, anti-codon, and T loops). The record is from RNAcentral. Lineage: Bacteria; Candidatus Nealsoniibacteriota.